Molecule: ribosomal RNA, 460 nt
Filed under: uncultured bacterium
Lineage: Bacteria
Description: partial 16S ribosomal RNA
Rfam family: Bacterial small subunit ribosomal RNA
Source: RNAcentral
CCUACGGGAGGCUGCAGUGAGGAAUAUUGGUCAAUGGCCGGGAGGCUGAACCAGCCAAGUCGCGUGAGGGAAGACGGCCCUACGGGUUGUAAACCUCUUGUGUCAGGGAGCAAGGUGCAGGGCGGGACCAGCUGUGAGAGUACCGGAAGAAAAAGCAUCGGCUAACUCCGUGCCAGCAGCCGCGGUAAGACGGAGGAUGCGAGCGUUAUCCGGAUUUAUUGGGUUGAAAGGGAUCGUAGAUGGGUUGUUAAGUCAGUUGUGAAAGUUUGCGGCUCAACCGUAAAAUUGAAAUUGAUACUGGCAGUCUUGCGUACAUUUGAGGUAGGCGGAAUUCGUGGUGUAGCGGUGCAAUGCUUAGAUAUCACGAAGAACCCCGAUUGCGAAGGCAGCUUACUAAACUGUGCCUGACAUUGAUGCUCGACAGUGUGGGUAUCAAACAGGAUUAGAUACCCUGGUAGUC